AUUGAACGCUGGCGGCAGGCCUAACACAUGCAAGUCGAACGGUAACAGGAAGCAGCUUGCUGCUUUGCUGACGAGUGGCGGACGGGUGAGUAAUGUCUGGGAAACUGCCCGAUGGAGGGGGAUAACUACUGGAAACGGUAGCUAAUACCGCAUAACGUCGCAAGACCAAAGAGGGGGACCUUAGGGCCUCUUGCCAUCGGAUGAGCCCAGAUGGGAUUAGCUAGUAGGUGGGGUAACGGCUCACCUAGGCGACGAUCCCUAGCUGGUCUGAGAGGAUGACCAGCCACACUGGAACUGAGACACGGUCCAGACUCCUACGGGAGGCAGCAGUGGGGAAUAUUGCACAAUGGGCGCAAGCCUGAUGCAGCCAUGCCGCGUGUAUGAAGAAGGCCUUCGGGUUGUAAAGUACUUUCAGCGGGGAGGAAGGGAGUAAAGUUAAUACCUUUGCUCAUUGACGUUACCCGCAGAAGAAGCGCCGGCUAACUCCGUG
This 490-nucleotide ribosomal RNA is filed under the name uncultured bacterium. Its description in RNAcentral is "partial 16S ribosomal RNA". It matches the Rfam family "Bacterial small subunit ribosomal RNA", at positions 30 to 507 of the family's 1533-position model. The record is from RNAcentral.